Molecule: ribosomal RNA, 465 nt
Filed under: uncultured Rhodoferax sp.
Lineage: Bacteria; Pseudomonadati; Pseudomonadota; Betaproteobacteria; Burkholderiales; Comamonadaceae
Description: bacterial SSU rRNA
Rfam family: Bacterial small subunit ribosomal RNA
Source: RNAcentral
GACGGGACCCGCACAAGCGGUGGAUGAUGUGGUUUAAUUCGAUGCAACGCGAAAACCUUACCACCUUUGACACGUACGGAACCUUUAGAGAUAGAGGGUGCUCGAAAGAGAGCCGUAACACAGGUGCUGCAUGGCUGUCGUCAGCUCGUGUCGUGAGAUGUUGGGUUAAGUCCCGCAACGAGCGCAACCCUUGUCAUUAGUUGCUACAUUCAGUUGGGCACUCUAAUGAGACUGCCGGUGACAAGCCGGAGGAAGGUGGGGAUGGCGUCAAGUCCUCAUGGCCCUUAUAGGUGGGGCUACACACGUCAUACAAUGGCUGGUACAAAGGGUUGCCAACCCGCGAGGGGGAGCCAAUCCCAUAAAGCCAAUCUCAGUUCGGAUUGUAGGCUGCAACUCGCCUACAUGAAGUCGGAAUCGCUAGUAAUCGCGGAUCAGCACGCCGCGGUGAAUACGUUCCCGGGCCUU